GGAGGUGGCUCAAAGUUAAGAGCACUGGCUGCUCUUCCAGAGGACCUGGGUUCAAUUCCCAGCACCUACA
Molecule: transfer RNA, 70 nt
Filed under: Mesocricetus auratus (golden hamster)
Lineage: Eukaryota; Metazoa; Chordata; Mammalia; Rodentia; Cricetidae
Rfam family: tRNA
About the family: Transfer RNA (tRNA) molecules are approximately 80 nucleotides in length. Their secondary structure includes four short double-helical elements and three loops (D, anti-codon, and T loops). Further hydrogen bonds mediate the characteristic L-shaped molecular structure. tRNAs have two regions of fundamental functional importance: the anti-codon, which is responsible for specific mRNA codon recognition, and the 3' end, to which the tRNAs corresponding amino acid is attached (by aminoacyl-tRNA synthetases). tRNAs cope with the degeneracy of the genetic code in two manners: having more than one tRNA (with a specific anti-codon) for a particular amino acid; and 'wobble' base-pairing, i.e. permitting non-standard base-pairing at the 3rd anti-codon position.
Source: Rfam by way of RNAcentral